Molecule: non-coding RNA, 58 nt
Organism: Salmo salar (Atlantic salmon)
Lineage: Eukaryota; Metazoa; Chordata; Actinopteri; Salmoniformes; Salmonidae
Source: Rfam
UAGCUCAGUUGGAAGAGCAUGGUGUUUGCAACGCCAGGGUUGUGGGUUCGAUUCCCAC